GAUUAAGUUAUUAAGGGCGCACGGUGGAUGCCUUGGCACUAGAAGCCGAUGAAGGACGUUACUAACGACGAUAUGCUUUGGGGAGCUGUAAGUAAGCUUUGAUCCAGAGAUUUCCGAAUGGGGAAACCCAGCAUGAGUUAUGUCAUGUUAUCGAUAUGUGAAUACAUAGCAUAUCAGAAGGCACACCCGGAGAACUGAAACAUCUUAGUACCCGGAGGAAGAGAAAGAAAAUUCGAUUCCCUUAGUAGCGGCGAGCGAAACGGGAAGAGCCCAAACCAACAAGCUUGCUUGUUGGGGUUGUAGGACACUCUAUACGGAGUUACAAAGGACGACAUUAGACGAAUCAUCUGGAAAGAUGAAUCAAAGAAGGUAAUAAUCCUGUAGUCGAAAAUGUUGUCUCUCUUGAGUGGAUCCUGAGUACGACGGAGCACGUGAAAUUCCGUCGGAAUCUGGGAGGACCAUCUCCUAAGGCUAAAUACUCUCUAGUGACCGAUAGUGAACCAGUACCGUGAGGGAAAGGUGAAAAGCACCCCGGAAGGGGAGUGAAAUAGAACCUGAAACCGUGUGCUUACAAGUAGUCAGAGCCCGUUAAUGGGUGAUGGCGUGCCUUUUGUAGAAUGAACCGGCGAGUUACGAUUUGAUGCAAGGUUAAGCAGUAAAUGUGGAGCCGUAGCGAAAGCGAGUCUGAAUAGGGCGUUUAGUAUUUGGUCGUAGACCCGAAACCAGGUGAUCUACCCUUGGUCAGGUUGAAGUUCAGGUAACACUGAAUGGAGGACCGAACCGACUUACGUUGAAAAGUGAGCGGAUGAACUGAGGGUAGCGGAGAAAUUCCAAUCGAACCUGGAGAUAGCUGGUUCUCUCCGAAAUAGCUUUAGGGCUAGCCUCAAGUGAUGAUUAUUGGAGGUAGAGCACUGUUUGGACGAGGGGCCCCUCUCGGGUUACCGAAUUCAGACAAACUCCGAAUGCCAAUUAAUUUAACUUGGGAGUCAGAACAUGGGUGAUAAGGUCCGUGUUCGAAAGGGAAACAGCCCAGACCACCAGCUAAGGUCCCAAAAUAUAUGUUAAGUGGAAAAGGAUGUGGCGUUGCCCAGACAACUAGGAUGUUGGCUUAGAAGCAGCCAUCAUUUAAAGAGUGCGUAAUAGCUCACUAGUCGAGUGACACUGCGCCGAAAAUGUACCGGGGCUAAACAUAUUACCGAAGCUGUGGAUUGUCCUUUGGACAAUGGUAGGAGAGCGUUCUAAGGGCGUUGAAGCAUGAUCGUAAGGACAUGUGGAGCGCUUAGAAGUGAGAAUGCCGGUGUGAGUAGCGAAAGACGGGUGAGAAUCCCGUCCACCGAUUGACUAAGGUUUCCAGAGGAAGGCUCGUCCGCUCUGGGUUAGUCGGGUCCUAAGCUGAGGCCGACAGGCGUAGGCGAUGGAUAACAGGUUGAUAUUCCUGUACCACCUAUAAUCGUUUUAAUCGAUGGGGGGACGCAGUAGGAUAGGCGAAGCGUGCGAUUGGAUUGCACGUCUAAGCAGUAAGGCUGAGUAUUAGGCAAAUCCGGUACUCNNNNNNNNNNNNNNNNNNNNNNNNNNNNNNNNNNNNNNNNNNNNNNNNNNNNNNNNNNNNNNNNNNNNNNNNNNNNNNNNNNNNNNNNNNNNNNNNNNNGAGGCUGAGCUGUGAUGGGGAGAAGACAUUGUGUCUUCGAGUCGUUGAUUUCACACUGCCGAGAAAAGCCUCUAGAUAGAAAAUAGGUGCCCGUACCGCAAACCGACACAGGUAGUCAAGAUGAGAAUUCUAAGGUGAGCGAGCGAACUCUCGUUAAGGAACUCGGCAAAAUGACCCCGUAACUUCGGGAGAAGGGGUGCUCUUUAGGGUUAACGCCCAGAAGAGCCGCAGUGAAUAGGCCCAAGCGACUGUUUAUCAAAAACACAGGUCUCUGCUAAACCGUAAGGUGAUGUAUAGGGGCUGACGCCUGCCCGGUGCUGGAAGGUUAAGAGGAGUGGUUAGCUUCUGCGAAGCUACGAAUCGAAGCCCCAGUAAACGGCGGCCGUAACUAUAACGGUCCUAAGGUAGCGAAAUUCCUUGUCGGGUAAGUUCCGACCCGCACGAAAGGCGUAACGAUUUGGGCACUGUCUCAACGAGAGACUCGGUGAAAUCAUAGUACCUGUGAAGAUGCAGGUUACCCGCGACAGGACGGAAAGACCCCGUGGAGCUUUACUGUAGCCUGAUAUUGAAAUUCGGCACAGCUUGUACAGGAUAGGUAGGAGCCUUUGAAACGUGAGCGCUAGCUUACGUGGAGGCGCUGGUGGGAUACUACCCUAGCUGUGUUGGCUUUCUAACCCGCACCACUUAUCGUGGUGGGAGACAGUGUCAGGCGGGCAGUUUGACUGGGGCGGUCGCCUCCUAAAAGGUAACGGAGGCGCUCAAAGGUUCCCUCAGAAUGGUUGGAAAUCAUUCAUAGAGUGUAAAGGCAUAAGGGAGCUUGACUGCGAGACCUACAAGUCGAGCAGGGUCGAAAGACGGACUUAGUGAUCCGGUGGUUCCGCAUGGAAGGGCCAUCGCUCAACGGAUAAAAGCUACCCCGGGGAUAACAGGCUUAUCUCCCCCAAGAGUUCACAUCGACGGGGAGGUUUGGCACCUCGAUGUCGGCUCAUCGCAUCCUGGGGCUGUAGUCGGUCCCAAGGGUUGGGCUGUUCGCCCAUUAAAGCGGUACGCGAGCUGGGUUCAGAACGUCGUGAGACAGUUCGGUCCCUAUCCGUCGUGGGCGUAGGAAAUUUGAGAGGAGCUGUCCUUAGUACGAGAGGACCGGGAUGGACAUACCUCUGGUGUACCAGUUGUCGUGCCAACGGCAUAGCUGGGUAGCUAUGUGUGGACGGGAUAAGUGCUGAAAGCAUCUAAGCAUGAAGCCCCCCUCAAGAUGAGAUUUCCCAACUUCGGUUAUAAGAUCCCUCAAAGAUGAUGAGGUUAAUAGGUUCGAGGUGGAAGCAUGGUGACAUGUGGAGCUGACGAAUACUAAUCGAUCGAAGACUUAAUCAA
RNAcentral lists this ribosomal RNA (3019 nucleotides) under Staphylococcus aureus. RNAcentral's name for it is "23S ribosomal RNA". It matches the Rfam family "Bacterial large subunit ribosomal RNA". The record is from RNAcentral. Lineage: Bacteria; Bacillati; Bacillota; Bacilli; Caryophanales; Staphylococcaceae.